CCGACGCUUCAUCGAGCGUGAAAUCGAGUAGGGCGGGACACGUGAUAUCCUGUCUGAAUAUGGGGGGACCAUCCUCCAAGGCUAAAUACUCCUGACUGACCGAUAGUGAACCAGUACCGUGAGGGAAAGGCGAAAAGAACCCCUGUGAGGGGAGUGAAAUAGAACCUGAAACCGUGUACGUACAAGCAGUAGGAGCACCUUCGUGGUGUGACUGCGUACCUUUUGUAUAAUGGGUCAGCGACUUAUAUUCAGUGGCAAGGUUAACCGUAUAGGGGAGCCGUAGCGAAAGCGAGUCUUAACUGGGCGCUCAGUCUCUGGAUAUAGACCCGAAACCGGG
RNAcentral lists this ribosomal RNA (337 nucleotides) under Vibrio cholerae. RNAcentral's name for it is "partial 23S ribosomal RNA". It matches the Rfam family "Bacterial large subunit ribosomal RNA", at positions 385 to 725 of the family's 2925-position model. The record is from RNAcentral. Lineage: Bacteria; Pseudomonadati; Pseudomonadota; Gammaproteobacteria; Vibrionales; Vibrionaceae.